This 519-nucleotide ribosomal RNA is filed under the name uncultured eukaryote. RNAcentral describes it as "SSU rRNA". It matches the Rfam family "Eukaryotic small subunit ribosomal RNA", at positions 1161 to 1696 of the family's 1831-position model. The record is from RNAcentral.
AGGGCACCACCAGGAGUGGAGCCUGCGGCUUAAUUUGACUCAACACGGGAAAACUCACCCGGCCCGGACACUGGAAGGAUUGACAGAUUGAGAGCUCUUUCUUGAUUCAGUGGGUGGUGGUGCAUGGCCGUUCUUAGUUGGUGGAGUGAUUUGUCUGGUUAAUUCCGAUAACGAACGAGACCUUAUCCUACUAAAUAUGUGGUCAAGUUUACAAACACUUGAUCUCACUUCUUAGAGGGACAGGCGGUGAUUCAACCGCACGAAACAAGGCAAUAACAGGUCUGUGAUGCCCUUAGAUGUCCGGGGCCGCACGCGCGCUACACUGAAGUGAUCAGCGUGCUUUGCUAUGCCUACUCUGACAAGAGUGGGAAACCCCAUGAACCUUCUUCGUGAUUGGGAUAGGAGAUUGUAAUUAUUCUCCUUGAACGAGGAAUUCCCAGUAAGCGCGAGUCAUAAGCUCGCGUUGAUUACGUCCCUGCCCUUUGUACACACCGCCCGUCGCUACUACCGAUUGAAUGU